GAUGAACGCUGGCGGUAUGCUUAACACAUGCAAGUCGAACGGACUCUUCGGAGUUAGUGGCGGACGGGUGGGGAACGCGUGGGAAUCUGGCCUUGGGUUCGGGACAACCACUGGAAACGGUGGCUAAUACCGGAUGUGCCGAGAGGGAAAAGAGAAAUUGCCUGAAGAUGCGCUCGCGUCUGAUUAGCUAGUUUGUGAGGUAAAGGCUCACAAAGGCAGCGAUCAGUAGCUGGUCUGAGAGGAUGACCAGACACACGGAGACUGAGACACGGCACAGACUCCUGCGAGAGGCAGCAGUGGGAAAUUGUCCGAAAGGCGCGAGCGCCUGACAGCGACAUACCGCGUGAGAGAAGAAGGCUCUUGGGUUGUACACCUCUUUCCUUAGGGAAGAACAAAAUGACGGUAACGAAGAAAUCAGCAUCGGCUAACUACGUG
This 435-nucleotide ribosomal RNA is filed under the name uncultured bacterium. RNAcentral's name for it is "partial 16S ribosomal RNA". It matches the Rfam family "Bacterial small subunit ribosomal RNA", at positions 28 to 507 of the family's 1533-position model. The record is from RNAcentral.